RNAcentral lists this ribosomal RNA (497 nucleotides) under uncultured bacterium. RNAcentral describes it as "partial 16S ribosomal RNA". It matches the Rfam family "Bacterial small subunit ribosomal RNA", at positions 28 to 507 of the family's 1533-position model. The record is from RNAcentral.
GAUGAACGCUGGCGGCGUGCCUAAUACAUGCAAGUAGAACGCUGAAGGAAGGAGCUUGCUCUUUCCGGAUGAGUUGCGAACGGGUGAGUAACGCGUAGGUAACCUGCCUGGUAGCGGGGGAUAACUAUUGGAAACGAUAGCUAAUACCGCAUAACAGUAGAUGUUGCAUGAUAUCUACUUAAAAGGUGCAAUUGCACCACUACCAGAUGGACCUGCGUUGUAUUAGCUAGUUGGUGAGGUAACGGCCCACCAAGGCGACGAUACAUAGCCGACCUGAGAGGGUGAUCGGCCACACUGGGACUGAGACACGGCCCAGACUCCUACGGGAGGCAGCAGUAGGGAAUCUUCGGCAAUGGACGGAAGUCUGACCGAGCAACGCCGCGUGAGUGAAGAAGGUUUUCGGAUCGUAAAGCUCUGUUGUAAGAGAAGAACGAGUGUGAGAGUGGAAAGUUCACACUGUGACGGUAUCUUACCAGAAAGGGACGGCUAACUACGUG